RNAcentral lists this ribosomal RNA (419 nucleotides) under Chloroflexota bacterium. RNAcentral describes it as "Chloroflexi bacterium partial 16S ribosomal RNA". It matches the Rfam family "Bacterial small subunit ribosomal RNA", at positions 355 to 776 of the family's 1533-position model. The record is from RNAcentral. Lineage: Bacteria; Bacillati; Chloroflexota.
UGGGGAAUAUUGCACAAUGGGCGAAAGCCUGAUGCAGCGACGCCGCGUGGGGGAUGAAGGCUUUCGGGUUGUAAACCUCUUUCGCUAUCGAACAAGGCCCGCUUAGGGUGGGUUGAGGGUAGGUGGAGAAGAAGCGCCGGCUAACUACGUGCCAGCAGCCGCGGUAAUACGUAGGGCGCGAGCGUUGUCCGGAAUUAUUGGGCGUAAAGGGCUUGUAGGCGGCUUGUUGCGCCUGCUGUGAAAACGCGGGGCUUAACUUCGCGCGUGCAGUGGGUACGGGCAGGCUUGAGUGUGGUAGGGGUGACUGGAAUUCCAGGUGUAGCGGUGGAAUGCGCAGAUAUCUGGAGGAACACCGAUGGCGAAGGCAGGUCACUGGCCAUUACUGACGCUGAGGAGCGAAAGCAUGGGUAGCGAACAGG